CCAGAAUCAAACCUGGGACCCUUGAGUCCACAGGCUGACGCUCUAUCCACUGAGCCAAACUGGUUAGGGCAAUUUUUACAAUUUUUUAAUGGUUUUGGGAUUUUGAUUAUAUGGAAUUCAAUUUGAGAGUCCACUUGCAGAAUCAGGGAAGUGCAGAAAGAGCUAGAAAAUGAACCGGGGGAAGUCAAAUUGUUUUCUUGGGGGAAAAAAAAAAUUCAGGCCAGCAUGUGUUCAUCAUUGUCUCUGCAAGGAUGGGUAACAGCAAGAUGUAAGCAGUGCGCAUUUGGUUUAGUUUAGAGUCAGCACUUGAAAUUAGGGAUAGACUAGUUACCCAUCACUUGACACUACCCUUGUCCCAUUUCCUUGAAUCUUGUCCAGGUCAUCAAACUAUUUUUUCUCUCUUUGUGGACCACCUUCCCUACCCUCUGAGAAAGAACCUUUGCCUAUAUUUUAAAUUGUGGCAAAGCCUUCUAUCUGUUUACUAGGUUUAAAACGAUGAGAUUUAUUUCUUCUCCUUACUCUUGGUGCUCUUUCUUCUUAAAGGAGAAUAAAUUUAGCAGAAAAAAAAUAUUUCUGACACCUUCCGAAUGGAAUGAUAACAUAGUGUUGAGAAAACGAAACCCACUUGGUAAUCAGACAGGUGGACAUGUUCAAAAUGCUCUAGUUUCCAACCCCUUUAGAGCAUUCGCUACAUAUACACAAGGGGGGUUCUGUUUCUUUCUUUCCCUGUUAAAGCAUUUCUGCUGUUUUUAGGAGAAGCCACGCCCUCUUGCCUGGGGCCUGGGAAAGCCAGCCUCACUUCUCUCACAUGUAACUUUAGCAAACCACUGGGGCUGCCAGGCACAUUGGAGGUCCUGUGGGGGCAACUCCGCAGAGACCAAGGGCAAGAUAAUCAGUCCAAGGAGACAGUUAAUUUUAGUACAAAAGAGGUUAGAUGUGAUUUAUUUCCAACACCAAUGAACCAAAAGAGCUAACAAUCAUCAGAACAAAACACAGAACCAUCAAAUACUCCAGGCAAAAAUGGCCUGUGUCAGCUGACAUCGGUGUCCUCGUCAUCGUUAGCAAGGGAGACAGGCUUCAGUGGCUCAGGAGCUGAUGUGGACGACAUGUUUAAGUUGUCUUUAUAGGAAAAGGGUUUGAAUCAUCAGAGAGUUGGAGAAAUGGAUUUGGAGACAGGAAAGAGAAUAGGAAAAGAAAAGAAGGCAAGAGAAGACAGGGGGGUUUUUAUAAUAAUAUCGUAGCUCAUUCGUCAUUCCCGUUCAUCGUCACUAUCUUCAGAAAGCAUAGUGCUAGGACAGGAGCCAUGCAGCUUGUGCUGCCUCUUAAUCAUCCUGUCUCAGCUGCUGCAGGAGAACCCUCUCCACGGCUACCUGCUGUGGAGCAGAGUGCAGCACACCCACCACCAAGCCCAGCCGGCUCCCUCAGAGCGUCUCGCCUCCAGGAUGGACCCCUAGGCAGGUGAAUUGUUCCCAGCUUGAGCAAGGUGUUCCCUUGCAUUUGAGCCAAGGACUUGUCAUAGGACAUUGCUCAUAGUCCCAUUGUUGAUUUAUUCAUUUCUGCAAAAUAGCUUAAACAGCACCUCUUCCUGUUUCUGAGACUCACACAGCAUCUGAAUCUAAGGACUUGGAGGAAAGCCUCUAAAACCCAUGUCAAUGGAGGAUGAGGGCUCAGACUGGGAUGCACAAAGUCCUAGACCCUUAUUUUAAUGAGGGGAAAGCCCUGGAUCCUUCCUGUCCUUCUCUCUAGGUCAUUAUUUACCAGAAUACUUUGGGUCCUGAGUCCUGUUCCAUUUAAUCACCCUGUCCUUUCUGCAGUCACUACAUCAUCAUGCACAUAACUUCUGUUAUUGCCUUCACAUAUGGCACGUUAAACAUCCCUCAGUCUCCACCGAGUAGGACAAUGGCUUAAUUACCUGUGAAUCUCCUGUCCCUAGAUCAGCACUUGGUAUAUAAUAUUGAGUAAGUAAGUGAAUGAAAGAAUGAAAGCCAUUUAUAUUGAGUGAAUAGCAAUUACAUCGAAAACGAAGCUGUCCAUAUCGAUCCCUGGCAAAUAAGAAAGGAAACAUUGUGAGACUCUUAUAUGUGUGAGAAGAAAAACUAAAAAACAUCUUUCAUCGUAUGCAGAGAAGAAGGCUUGGGGAAAUUGUUUAGACUGUUUGAACAGGACCCAGGUCUGGAGUGGCAUUUAGAUCUGAGCCCUCACGUGUCUGUGUAGGGCAGUGAUUUUCAACCUUUUUGAUCCCAUAGCACGCAUAAACUAAUUACUAAAAUUCUACGGCAUACCAAAAAUAUAUGUUUUUUGCCAAUCUGAUGGAAAAAAAAAAAAGGUACAUUUUGAUUCACUCACACUGGAUGGCUAUUAUUGUGUUGGUUGUUGCCAUUUUUAAAAUUUGACAAUGUAAGGCAAAAGAGGCUAGGGCUCCUGACUAAAUAGUCAGGUGUGGCAUGCUUUAAAAAUUCGUGCAGCACACCAGCUGAAAUCACUGGUCUAGUGCAUGUUCCAAAGCAACGAUUUAGAGCUCACGUUCUCUCUACUUCCAGACACUCCUUCCCUCUUCUUAAGUUUUCUAUAUUGCUCCUGCUGACAGAGAUCAUAAGAUACCUUAAUUGUUCUCAGUUCAAACAUAUUGGCCUGUUGUCAGACCAAGUAUUCAAUUGUAGGGUUCAGAAAAUGCAUUUCCAGUGGGCUUAGAUUGGGCGGGCUACAUACUCAAGGGGGAAAUGAUUUUAAAAAUAUCAGAGUAUGUUUGGCAAACAGGAGAGCAGUCAACUACAUUUGACAGUGGUUGAGGAGAAACUGGAUUUUCUCCCAGAGGCAUCCUGGGUGUCUUUGCAGCCCCUUCUCUUGAGCAAAUGGUUACCAGCAAAUGGUCACUCAAAGCCUUGCUAAGAGUGCUCAUCCUUUACUGUAUUUUAUUAAAGCCUCAGGCAUGUGCCCCUGCACCCUCUCUGCCCUGCUCAUUGUUUUGGCUACAGAGCUGGGGAGCAAAGCUGGCAUCACAUGGGGAGUUUCCAUGUGUGAAGGUCCACAUCCUUCAUUCACAUCCUUCAAGGGUUUCCCUGAACAUUUUCUGAUUGUGUUUCUGAGUACAUGGUGUCAACAGCUCUCAGAAUUGUUAAGUUUUCUAUUUAUCCUCAGGCCAGGAAAAGGCACAGAUCACUGCAGUGUAAAAUUACCAGUGGUUUUGACAGUGACCUAGAAGAACUAUAGAAUGAAGAAAUUUAGCCUUGAGAGCUGAGGUCCAGCCCCAGGCUCAUCUUAACCAUGAAGUUCUGCUCAAUUAUACAGGCCACAAGAAGUUCUGCUAGUCCUGAAAAUAUUGAACUCAUCCAACUUACGCUGGGUGGUGUUGACUCAUCUUGAUGAAUGGCCAGUUUCAGACACCAAGAACUCUCCAAAUCAGCACAAACUCUUCUGAAGUCUUGAAAAGAUUAGUUGGAAUAAUUAAAAAUGGCCAGAUUUGCUGAAAAUAGAAGGAAGGAACAUUUCUUUGGAAUUGCUCUUGCACAGCCUUUAGAGAGACAGUGUUGUAAUGGGUAAGAGUUCAGGCCUGAGAGCUGGACCAUCUGGCUUGCACCACAGCUCUGCCACUUCCUAGCUAUGAAUCUGUGAGCACGUUACCCUCGAUGUGUCUCAGUUUUAUCAUGGGGAUGGCAUAAAAAUGUCUACUUCCCACACCUGUUGUGAGUUAAUAGGUAUGAAGCACGUAAAACUGUGCUUGGCACAUAGAAAGUAUUCAUUAAAUGUUAGCUACUAUUUUUAAUUAGAUCAUAACUUAGAACUGUUGCAGAUGUAUUGUGAAUGUAGAAUACAAAGUUAACACUGGGAAGUAGAGAAAUAUAUACUGAAAAAGGGAAUUGUGCAGAUAAACAUGGUACAGUUUAAGAGAGUUGUGUUUAAAUUAGGAGACAAUUCUUAUGUGUCUCCUUAAUCUAUCAAGCAUCCCUUAGUCAGAUCCCUUCUUAAAUGACCUUGAGCUUUCUACAUCAAGUUCUUAGUGAUCACAAACCUUGGUGAGUAGUCAUGUCUUAAGUGUAGUAUAUUACUUUGCUUCCAUGUUAACUUCUUCAGAUAUAACCUAGGUCCCGGUCACUUGUUCACUAACUGCAGGAGGUACACAUUAAGGUCUCCAGAGCUUCACUGACCUUCCUUAGGAGAUUGGAAGUCCAGUAUCUCCAACCUUCUUCUCACAAAAUUCUUUCUUUAUUUCCACUCUCAGGUGCUUAUACAUCUUCAGCAUGAAUAAUAGAUUUCCAGGAUUACAAAAUCUCCUUUUGGAACCUUGAAAUGCAGCAUCAAUUGUAUUUUGGUGCAUCAGUUAAAACAUCCACUUUAACAUUUUGUUACAUUUACAAACCCAUCCUUUCUACCUCGUCACAGCAUACUGCAUACAGAACAUUUUUCACUCCCCAAGCCUCAAUGUUAAAGCAACAAAAUUAGGGGUAAAUGAGAAAGGAUACUAACAUUUACUGAGUUUAAGUAAUUUUCCCAAAGACUAACAUAAUUAGAAAAUGGCAGAGCCAGAAUUCCCAUCCAGAUCUGUAUGUCCUAAACCCAGUUUCAUUUGCUAUAAGAUGAGGUAUUUAUUCAAAACCUAUCCAAGAAAAAUGCUUUUUUUUUGUAUUCCUUCUUCCUUAAACUCUCUUGAUUAUAUUAGCCAUUCUCUUAAAAUGCAGUUAAAUUUUUUUGUGUGUUUUGGGUAAACUCCCCAAAAUGUCAAAAAUUUAGUCAUUUCCUUUUCUACCUCUUCUACCUCAUGAAAUGAGGAUGAGUAACUUCCACUUUAUAGCCUUUGAGGGCUUUAAUAAAAAAAAAAAAAACAACUAUAAAAUUAGUGACUUCACACACAUCUAUUAACUUGAGGAUGUGUUUAUUAAGUUGGUUAUAUAUAUUUGAACUUCAUUCUUUAAAUUCAAUUUGUCAGGUAAAAUAAAAUUAUGUUAGUAUGCAUUUAUAAUUUAUUUCUUCCCUGAUAUAAAUCUGAAUUUCAGAAACCAAAACAUGGCUUUUGCUUCUUAACUCCUAUCAGGGAAGACACAAAGAAAUAGAUCUUUCUAUUAAAAUGCCUUAAAACCAGUUUUUCUUCAUACUUAGACUCAUCCCUAUGAAACUUCAGAGCACCAAGAAAAAAAGAGAAACCCCGAAGAGAUUCAAUGCAGGGAAAGACAGGUUACCUUUUGGAGGAUGAGAAUUAGAAUGGCUUUUGACUUCUUAUCCACAACAUUGGAUUCUAAAAGAAAAUGGAAUAAUAUCUUCACAUUUCGGAGGGAAAAUGAUUUUGACCAUAGAAUUCUGUGCCCAGCCAAACCACCAAUCAAGUAGAGAGGGAAAAAUAUAUCAAAAUAUAGGAAAUUAUAGUUUAUAUUUCCAAAGAAGAUAAUUGAGAGUGAAUUCCAGCAAAAUGGAAAACAUCAUGAAGGAUGAAGGCAUGAGAUCCAGAAAAUAAUGGCUCUACCCUACAAGGGAAGAGGGGGAAGGCCCUUGGUGACAGCUGGGCUCCAGAGCUGUCUGGAUGGGAGCAGAAAUUCAGAGAGAACUGGGUGGAUGUCUCAAGAAAGAGAUUGGUCCACAAGUGAAAGUACAGUGGUGGCAAAAGUAGGUUUGCAGUUACAUUGUAACAUUCUUUUGAAUUAAUAAAGUUAUUAUUCAUAAUCA
Long non-coding RNA from Myotis myotis, 5655 nucleotides. RefSeq lists it as uncharacterized. NCBI's taxonomy places the organism in Eukaryota, Metazoa, Chordata, Mammalia, Chiroptera, Vespertilionidae. The record is from RefSeq and is a predicted model, not a curated record. The transcript has 2 exons.